GAUGAACGCUGGCGGCGUGCUUAACACAUGCAAGUCGAACGAUGAAGCUCAGCUUGCUGGGUGGAUUAGUGGCGAACGGGUGAGUAACACGUGAGUAACCUGCCCUUAACUCUGGGAUAAGCCUGGGAAACUAGGUCUAAUACCGGAUAGGAGCGCCUGCCGCAUGGUGGGUGUUGGAAAGAUUUAUCGGUUUUGGAUGGACUCGCGGCCUAUCAGCUUGUUGGUGAGGUAAUGGCUCACCAAGGCGACGACGGGUAGCCGGCCUGAGAGGGUGACCGGCCACACUGGGACUGAGACACGGCCCAGACUCCUACGGGAGGCAGCAGUGGGGAAUAUUGCACAAUGGGCGAAAGCCUGAUGCAGCGACGCCGCGUGAGGGAUGACGGCCUUCGGGUUGUAAACCUCUUUCAGUAGGGAAGAAGCGAAAGUGACGGUACCUGCAGAAGAAGCACCGGCUAACUACGUG
RNAcentral lists this ribosomal RNA (466 nucleotides) under uncultured bacterium. RNAcentral describes it as "partial 16S ribosomal RNA". It matches the Rfam family "Bacterial small subunit ribosomal RNA", at positions 28 to 507 of the family's 1533-position model. The record is from RNAcentral.